This 433-nucleotide ribosomal RNA is filed under the name uncultured bacterium. RNAcentral describes it as "partial 16S ribosomal RNA". It matches the Rfam family "Bacterial small subunit ribosomal RNA", at positions 29 to 507 of the family's 1533-position model. The record is from RNAcentral.
AGCGAACGCUGGCGGCAGGCCUAACACAUGCAAGUCGAACGAACUCUUCGGAGUUAGUGGCGGACGGGUGAGUAACACGUGGGAACGUGCCUUUUGGUUCGGAAUAACUCAGGGAAACUUGUGCUAAUACCGAAUGUGCCCUUCGGGGGAAAGAUUUAUCGCCAUUAGAGCGGCCCGCGUCUGAUUAGCUAGUUGGUGAGGUAACGGCUCACCAAGGCGACGAUCAGUAGCUGGUCUGAGAGGAUGACCAGCCACACUGGGACUGAGACACGGCCCAGACUCCUACGGGAGGCUGCAGUGGGGAAUCUUGCGCAAUGGGCGAAAGCCUGACGCAGCCAUGCCGCGUGAAUGAUGAAGGUCUUAGGAUUGUAAAAUUCUUUCACCGGGGACGAUAAUGACGGUACCCGGAGAAGAAGCCCCGGCUAACUUCGUG